Acanthosepion pharaonis is the source of this 112-nucleotide non-coding RNA. The record is from the annotation of a GenBank genome assembly. Lineage: Eukaryota; Metazoa; Mollusca; Cephalopoda; Sepiida; Sepiidae.
ACAGCUAUAUCAUGUCGAAACACCAGUUCUCGUCCAAUCACCGAAGUUAAGCAACGUCGAGUCUGGUUAUUACUUAGAUGGGUAACCGCUUGUGAAUGCCAGGUGUUGUAAG